This 460-nucleotide ribosomal RNA is filed under the name uncultured bacterium. Its description in RNAcentral is "partial 16S ribosomal RNA". It matches the Rfam family "Bacterial small subunit ribosomal RNA", at positions 338 to 795 of the family's 1533-position model. The record is from RNAcentral.
CCUACGGGAGGCAGCAGUGAGGAAUAUUGGUCAAUGGGCGUAAGCCUGAACCAGCCAAGUCGCGUGAGGGAUGAAGGUUCUAUGGAUCGUAAACCUCUUUUAUAAGGGAAUAAAGUGUGGGACGUGUCCUGUUUUGUAUGUACCUUAUGAAUAAGGAUCGGCUAACUCCGUGCCAGCAGCCGCGCUAAUACGGAGGAUCCGAGCGUUAUCCGGAUUUAUUGGGUUUAAAGGGUGCGUAGGCGGCCUUUUAAGUCAGCGGUGAAAGUCUGUGGCUCAACCAUAGAAUUGCCGUUGAAACUGGGAGGCUUGAGUAUGUUUGAGGCAGGCGGAAUGCGUGGUGUAGCGGUCACAUGCUUAGAUAUCACGCAGAACCCCGAUUGCGAAGGCAGCCUGCCAAGCCAUGCCUGACGCUGAUGCACGAACGCGUGGGGAUCAAACAGGAUUAGAUACCCCAGUAGUC